AUGAAUGGAUACUCUGAGAUAGAACGAGAAAAAGCAAAUUUGAUUAAUGCUACUUCUAUUAGUUUGGAACAAUUGGAAAAGUCUAAAAACGAAACCCUUUAUUUUGAAAAACAAAGGGCAAUGAAUCAGGUCCGACAGCGGGUUUUCCAACAGGCCGUACAAGGAGCUCUAGGAACUCUGAAUAGUUGUUUGAAUACCGAGUUACAUUUCCGUACGAUUCGUGCUAAUAUUGGCAUUCUCGGGUCCCUGAAUGGAAGAGAUAAUUAA
This 267-nucleotide ribosomal RNA is filed under the name Triticum aestivum (bread wheat). RNAcentral's name for it is "partial small subunit ribosomal RNA". Lineage: Eukaryota; Viridiplantae; Streptophyta; Magnoliopsida; Poales; Poaceae. The record is from RNAcentral.